AGGGUGUGUGGCAUCAUAUCCGAAUCAGGAUGGAGAAAGGAGAAUAUCGACUAGGAGGUAGUGCUUAGAAGCUCAAGCCUGUCUGAAUACAAUGAAUUUAAGAUCAAUUAUGAUUUAGGUAAUUCAAUAAGGAUCAAUGAUAACCAAAUUUUGGAGAUUCUGCUAAGAAUUGAGAUGGGGUUAGCAUGCCACUGGGUACUGGGGGAAUUUAGGACCUCCUCACUAAAAGGUUAACGAGGGUCCAU
RNAcentral lists this long non-coding RNA (245 nucleotides) under Elaeis guineensis (African oil palm). RNAcentral's name for it is "long non-coding RNA (EGUI_LNC037813)". The record is from RNAcentral. Lineage: Eukaryota; Viridiplantae; Streptophyta; Magnoliopsida; Arecales; Arecaceae.